AGGUCCAGAUCCUGGGGGUGGAGGCACAGAUGUUUGAGGUCCUGCUGGAGUUCAUAUACACAGCUUUGCCCUGUCAUGAAAUGUACCAUUUACUGUGUGUGUAGUGUACAGUAGUGCUCAUACACAAAACAGUAUAUAAUACAGAUGUCUUUGUGUUUCUUUGAACUGAAUCCGUCCAGGCACGAUUCAUGUGACGGUGGAGAACAUGCAGGAGCUGAUGGUGGCAGCAGACAUGCUGAAGCUGAGUGAGGUGGUGUCUAUCUGUGGGAGAGUUCCUCAAGAGCCACAUGGACCUGUCCAACUGUGCGGGGUUACACCAGUUCCUGGAGCAGAUCGCCUGCAUGGACAUGCUGGAGUUCACUGAGAACUAUGUCCAUGUACACUUUCUGGAGUUGCUACACAGUAUUUUUCUUCCUCCAUCUGUCUGUCUUCAGAUGAUCUCUUUCCCCUUCCAUCUCAUUCCAAUCUGCUGAGUGUGUGUAACAAAAAAAGUGAAUAGCCUGUUCCCAACCUGUUAUAACACUUGCUCCAACGGACAAAAAUCCCAAUUGGAACAUCUGACCUUUAGGUGUGUGUGUGUGUUGGAUGAGUUCUUGGGCCUGUCUGGGGCCUGUCCAAGGACCAGCUGGUGAAGCUGCUGCGGAGCGAGGAGUUGCGGAUCGAAGAUAAGUACCAGGUAUUCAUGGCAGCCAUGGACUGGGUCUUACAGGACGUGGCCAAGAGGAAGAAACGUGGUGGAGGUGCUGUACCCAGUUCCCCCUGCUCUUCCCACAGAGACUCUUCAAGUACAUAGGUGGUUGGGUUGGAUCAGAGAUUGGGAAGACGAUGGAGCCACAUCAAAGACGAGUUCUCGAGUUCAUUGUCAACAGAGCCUUCACCAGCAAUGUGUUUUAACUUUUGAACAGCAGUGGCAGAAUGCUGCAGGAGAAUCGAAUUCUGUUAUUUCCCAUAUUGUACUCAUAUAGCCAAUAGAGGGUGCGACUCUUUUUUCAUCACCUCACAGAGUAUGAACACAGAGCCUUUUUCUAGCUAGAACAGUUUGGUCUUUGCAAAAUACAAGGCAAAUUACUUUCUGUGGUCUUGCAGGGGAAUUGAUGGAUUUCAUAAUGUUUGGAUUGUUCUGUUAUUUUGGAUAGUUUAUUGCUUUUAUGUAACUGAACUAGAAGUUCAUUGUACACAGACAAACAGAUGACUGGGAGACUGCCAACCGGGAGACUGUUGAUUCAAAUGAGCUAGCAAGACUGCAGUACCUACUCCGUCAGUUACAUGGCAGACCUGUCUGUCUCCAUCACUCAGUAAUAUACUUCCUGCUCCGUUUCAGAGGUGUGCCAGUGUUUCUGGAGGGUAAAUAGCUUUCAUUGUUUACUGUAUUUUCUCUGCUAAUUUGUGUGGACUUAAACAUUGGUACUUUCAGGAACAUUACGUUUUUACAUAAGUGUAAAGGAUGUUUGUCCGUUAUUGAGAAUGGGAUAGCUGUCUGUCACUGAUAUCCUAUCAAUUGUUUCAACCUGUGCACUUUGAGUGUCACAUUUAAAAUGAACACCAAAACUAUUAACUUACAUGGGAGUUGUCCAUUAUCCAUGUCGACUGAAGGUAGACUGACAGCUAGUGCGAUGGGCUUCAUGUGUCUACACGGAGUUGUAUUAAAACCUUGUACUGCACUUGAUGACAGAAGCAGAAGCUA
This is a long non-coding RNA of Oncorhynchus nerka (sockeye salmon), 1684 nucleotides long. RefSeq lists it as uncharacterized. The transcript is spliced from 2 exons. NCBI's taxonomy places the organism in Eukaryota, Metazoa, Chordata, Actinopteri, Salmoniformes, Salmonidae. The record is from RefSeq and is a predicted model, not a curated record.